Molecule: ribosomal RNA, 252 nt
Filed under: uncultured bacterium
Lineage: Bacteria
Description: partial 16S ribosomal RNA
Rfam family: Bacterial small subunit ribosomal RNA
Source: RNAcentral
UACGUAGGCAGCGAGCGUUGUUCGGAGUUACUGGGCGUAAAGAGUGCGUAGGCGGUUUUCUAAGUUUGGUGUGAAAUCUCCCGCUUAACUGGGAGGGUGCGCCGAAGACUGGAAGGCUUGAGUAUGGGAGAGGUAAGCGGAAUUCCUGGUGUAGCGGUGAAAUGCGUAGAUAUGGGGAGGAACACCGGUGGCGAAGGCGGCCAUCUGGACGGCUAUUGACGCUGAGACGCGAAAGCGUGGGGAGCAAACAGG